AUGUACAGGACCCAGUGGACCCUGGAGCCCAUUCCCAUCCUGCACAGCAAGAGCAGCCCAUUGCUGGCCCAGGACACCCAUGAUUCAGAUGCACCAUCCCGACAAAGCAAACAUCAGCUUCUAGUUCAAGUUGGUAAUUUUGUAACAAAACCAGCUGAGAACAUUCACCAGAAAAUUACAAAAUUACAUCUUUCUUUCUUUCUUUCUUUCUUUCUUCUUUCUUUCUUUCUUUCUUUCUUUCUUUCUUUCUUUCUUUU
RNAcentral lists this long non-coding RNA (257 nucleotides) under Camarhynchus parvulus. Its description in RNAcentral is "lncRNA (ENSCPVG00000006133.2)". Lineage: Eukaryota; Metazoa; Chordata; Aves; Passeriformes; Thraupidae. The record is from RNAcentral.